RNAcentral lists this ribosomal RNA (944 nucleotides) under uncultured bacterium. RNAcentral's name for it is "bacterial SSU rRNA". It matches the Rfam family "Bacterial small subunit ribosomal RNA", at positions 8 to 932 of the family's 1533-position model. The record is from RNAcentral.
AGAGUUUGAUCCUGGCUCAGGACGAACGCUGGCGGCGUGCCUAAUACAUGCAAGUCGAGCGAACUGAUAAGGAGCUUGCUCCUUUGACGUUAGCGGCGGACGGGUGAGUAACACGUGGGCAACCUACCUGUAAGACUGGGAUAACUUCGGGAAACCGGAGCUAAUACCGGAUGAAUCUUUUCUUCGCAUGAAGAAGAGAUAAAAGAUGGCUUCGGCUAUCACUUACAGAUGGGCCCGCGGCGCAUUAGCUAGUUGGUGAGGUAAGAGCUCACCAAGGCAACGAUGCGUAGCCGACCUGAGAGGGUGAUCGGCCACACUGGGACUGAGACACGGCCCAGACUCCUACGGGAGGCAGCAGUAGGGAAUCUUCCGCAAUGGACGAAAGUCUGACGGAGCAACGCCGCGUGAGCGAUGAAGGUCUUCGGAUCGUAAAGCUCUGUUAUUAGGGAAGAACAAGUAUCGGAGUAACUGCCGGUACCUUGACGGUACCUAACCAGAAAGCCACGGCUAACUACGUGCCAGCAGCCGCGGUAAUACGUAGGUGGCAAGCGUUGUCCGGAAUUAUUGGGCGUAAAGCGCGCGCAGGCGGUCCUUUAAGUCUGAUGUGAAAGCCCACGGCUCAACCGUGGAGGGUCAUUGGAAACUGGAGGACUUGAGUGCAGAAGAGGAGAGUGGAAUUCCACGUGUAGCGGUGAAAUGCGUAGAGAUGUGGAGGAACACCAGUGGCGAAGGCGACUCUCUGGUCUGUAACUGACGCUGAGGCGCGAAAGCGUGGGUAGCGAACAGGAUUAGAUACCCUGGUAGUCCACGCCGUAAACGAUGAGUGCUAAGUGUUAGAGGGUUUCCGCCCUUUAGUGCUGCAGUUAACGCAUUAAGCACUCCGCCUGGGGAGUACGGCCGCAAGGCUGAAACUCAAAGGAAUUGACGGGGGCCCGCACAAGCGG